This 440-nucleotide long non-coding RNA is filed under the name Triticum aestivum (bread wheat). RNAcentral's name for it is "long non-coding RNA (TAES_LNC026036)". The record is from RNAcentral. Lineage: Eukaryota; Viridiplantae; Streptophyta; Magnoliopsida; Poales; Poaceae.
AGAUAUCUCACACACCACAUUUUUAGGAGGAAAUUCAGAAGGACAGAGACAUCAAAGAUUAUUCAAAUAAUUGAAUAGCUGUCGUAGAUAGCAUCCAGAAAACAUAUAUAUACACCAAGACCAAGGUGUAUUUUUCUCACACAAGUCCUAAUAUAAUAGUUUGUCAACAAGUCAGAUAAUAUGCCUGACUUGCAACCAAACAACUGUUAUUCAAACCCUUCUUGCACGCACUCUUCUAAAAGCAAGAAACGAAUAACAACCAACACGGCGAAAUGUCAGACAAUCCUUCCAUCGCACUCCCAAAUCCAAACCCAAAGCAACAAACACGCGGGCAGCUCAUUUGCACAGGUCGGUCGCAGGCGGGCGCAGGGCGACUCCUCCGAGCUUCUCGCUCGAGUACUUCUUGUAGACGACCUUCAGCUUGCUGUCAGGCGCGGUGG